Molecule: long non-coding RNA, 440 nt
Organism: Mauremys reevesii (Reeves's turtle)
Lineage: Eukaryota; Metazoa; Chordata; Testudines; Geoemydidae
Exons: 3
Source: RefSeq, a predicted model, not a curated record
AGUAGGAGAAUUGCCAUAUUUUCCCAGAGCCCAGCUAAGGAGGAGAGAGAGAGCCUACUGAAAAAGCAGAAAGGGAGUGCGUUAGUAAACUACUCACCCAAAAUAUUACCAUGUCCAUGCUGUGGAGGCAGUAUGACUUGCUCAGUACAUGGGAGUCAUGAUAAAAUCUGGGAAAGCGGAUAAACUGCAAUUUAUGGUUACAACACAACACGCUCUUGGAAUAUGCAUGCCUUUGCUUUCUACAGGCAACAUUGUAUACCUUGGGAAGACAAGCCCCAUCUGCUGCUAUGCCUAGAACUCAUGCUGAGGAUGAGCCACAAGAAAGAAGAUACAGACGCACUACACUACUUGACAUACUAGCACACCACUGCAUAGCAGUGUGGUACAAUGGCAAUGUAUAACCUGGUGAUAAAAGCAUUUUCUUCUAUGCAAUGGGAGUC